CAGGAUGAACGCUGGCGGCGUGCCUAAUACAUGCAAGUCGACGAGGUAGCAAUACGACGUGGCGAACGGGUGAGUAACACGUAGGUAACCUGCCCUUAAGCUGGGACACCCAGAGGAAACUUUGGCUAAUACCGGAUAACAACAGAGAAGGCAUCUUCUUUGCUUGAAAGGCCCCUUCAAGGGUCACUUAAGGAUGGACCUGCGGCGCAUUAGCUAGUUGGUGAGAUAACAGCCCACCAAGGCGAGGGAUGCGUAGCCGAACUGAGAGGUUGAUCGGCCACAUUGGAACUGAGACACGGUCCAAACUCCUACGGGAGGCAGCAGUAAGGAGUUUUCGGCAAUGGGGGAAACCCUGACCGAGCAACGCCGCGUGAGGGAUUGAAGGUCUUCGGAUCGUAAACCUCUGUCAGAAGGGAAGAAAGCAGCGGGUGCCAACCAGCCUGCUGUUGACGGUACCUUCAAAGGAAGCACCGGCUAACUCCGUGCCAGCCGCCGC
Molecule: ribosomal RNA, 496 nt
Filed under: uncultured bacterium
Lineage: Bacteria
Description: bacterial SSU rRNA
Rfam family: Bacterial small subunit ribosomal RNA
Source: RNAcentral